GACGAACGCUGGCGGCGUGCUUAACACAUGCAAGUCGAACGGAAAGGCCUUUUCGGAGGUACUCGAGUGGCGAACGGGUGAGUAACACGUGGGUGAUCUGCCCUGCACUCUGGGAUAAGCCUGGGAAACUGGGUCUAAUACCGGAUAGGACCGCACUUUAGUGUGUGUGGUGGAAAGUUUUUUCGGUGUAGGAUGAGCCCGCGGCCUAUCAGCUUGUUGGUGGGGUAAUGGCCUACCAAGGCGGCGACGGGUAGCCGGACUGAGAGGUUGGUCGGCCACAUUGGGACUGAGAUACGGCCCAGACUCCUACGGGAGGCAGCAGUGGGGAAUAUUGCACAAUGGGCGCAAGCCCGAUGCAGCGACGCCGCGUGGGGGAUGACGGCCUUCGGGUUGUAAACUCCUUUCGCCAGGGACGAAGCGUUUUGUGACGGUACCUGGAGAAGAAGCACCGGCUAACUACGUG
This 463-nucleotide ribosomal RNA is filed under the name uncultured bacterium. Its description in RNAcentral is "partial 16S ribosomal RNA". It matches the Rfam family "Bacterial small subunit ribosomal RNA", at positions 28 to 507 of the family's 1533-position model. The record is from RNAcentral.